GCUCAGUCAGAGUUUGAUCCUGGCUCAGGACGAACGCUGGCGGCGUGCUUAACACAUGCAAGUCGAACGGAAAGGCCCUGCUUUUGUGGGGUGCUCGAGUGGCGAACGGGUGAGUAACACGUGAGUAACCUGCCCUUGACUUUGGGAUAACUUCAGGAAACUGGGGCUAAUACCGGAUAGGAGCUCCUGCUGCAUGGUGGGGGUUGGAAAGUUUCGGCGGUUGGGGAUGGACUCGCGGCUUAUCAGCUUGUUGGUGGUAGUGGCUUACCAAGGCUUUGACGGGUAGCCGGCCUGAGAGGGUGACCGGCCACAUUGGGACUGAGAUACGGCCCAG
RNAcentral lists this ribosomal RNA (334 nucleotides) under uncultured bacterium. RNAcentral's name for it is "bacterial SSU rRNA". It matches the Rfam family "Bacterial small subunit ribosomal RNA", at positions 1 to 334 of the family's 1533-position model. The record is from RNAcentral.